GACGAACGCUGGCGGCGUGCUUAACACAUGCAAGUCGAACGGAAAGGCCCUGCUUUUGUGGUGUGCUCGAGUGGCGAACGGGUGCGUAACACGUGAGUAACCUGCCCUUGACUUUGGGAUAACUUCAGGAAACUGGGGCUAAUACCGGAUAGGAGAUCAUGUUGCGUGGUGGGGGUUGGAAAGUUUCGGCGGUUGGGGAUGGAUUCGCGGCUUAUCAGCUUGUUGGUGGGGUAGUGGCUUACCAAGGCUUUGACGGGUAGCCGGCCUGUGAGGGUGACCGGCCACAGUGGGACUGCGAGACGGACCAGUCUCCUACGGGAGGCAACAGUGGGAAAUAUUGCACAAUGGGCGGAAGCCUGAGGAAGCAACGCCGCGGGCGGGAUGACGGCUUUCUGGGUGAAAACCGCUGUCGCCUGUGACGAAGCGUUAGUGACGGUAAUGAGUAAAGAAGCACCGGCUAACUACGUG
RNAcentral lists this ribosomal RNA (468 nucleotides) under uncultured bacterium. RNAcentral's name for it is "partial 16S ribosomal RNA". It matches the Rfam family "Bacterial small subunit ribosomal RNA", at positions 28 to 507 of the family's 1533-position model. The record is from RNAcentral.